AGUGAACGCUGGCGGUAGGCCUAACACAUGCAAGUCGAACGGCAGCACAGUAAGAGCUUGCUCUUACGGGUGGCGAGUGGCGGACGGGUGAGGAAUACAUCGGAAUCUACUUUUUCGUGGGGGAUAACGUAGGGAAACUUACGCUAAUACCGCAUACGACCUACGGGUGAAAGCAGGGGAUCUUCGGACCUUGCGCGAGUGAAUGAGCCGAUGUCGGAUUAGCUAGUUGGCGGGGUAAAGGCCCACCAAGGCGACGAUCCGUAGCUGGUCUGAGAGGAUGAUCAGCCACACUGGAACUGAGACACGUCCCAGACUCCUACGGUAGGCAGCAGUGGGGAAUAUUGGACAAUGGGCGCAAGCCUGAUCCAGCCAUACCGCGUGGGUGAAGAAGGCCUUCGGGUUGUAAAGCCCUUUUGUUGGGAAAGAAGAGCAGCAGGUUAAUACCCCGCUGUUCUGACGGUACCCAAAGAAUAAGCACCGGCUAACUUCGUG
RNAcentral lists this ribosomal RNA (492 nucleotides) under uncultured bacterium. RNAcentral's name for it is "partial 16S ribosomal RNA". It matches the Rfam family "Bacterial small subunit ribosomal RNA", at positions 29 to 507 of the family's 1533-position model. The record is from RNAcentral.